CUGAACCCUCUGACUCUCAGGGGUUCCUUUCUCCAGGCCUCUAGCCAGAAAGAUUUGGAUUUCUAUUAGAGUUUUGGGUGCCCACCCCCAUUUCAUGUUCUGUGACUCAGGCCACCAGACCACCCUCAUAACAAGUCAGAAGACAUGAGGAAAAAAGAAAUAGCAAUCUGGCUGGUAUUGGUCCUUAUUCAAGUUUUGACUUCAUUCUCGAAUCUAUCCACUAUUGUUUACCUUUCAGAGUCCUUCGGUAAUUACUUUGUAUAUUCUGUCUGGAGUUUUCAGAUAUAAUUGGUGGCAGAGACAGACUAAAUAGGCUUACUCCAUCUUGGCUGGCCCUGGAAGUUUUAUACAUGUGUGAGUGUGUGUGGCUGUGUGUGUGAUAUUUAUAUCAACCAUUUAGGUUGGAUAUUUAUGCUAUUGAAAUGAUUCGUAUUGAAUGAGAUCACCAACAAAGGAAUGGGUUUAGAUAGAAAAGAAAAGAGGCUCAAGAACUGAGGCCUAGGAGAAUCCAACGGUUAGAGGGCAGGGAACAGAGGAGGAAUGACCAGAAAUAGAAUGAAAACUCAAAAAGCCAAGUGUCUUGGAUGCCAAGAAGAGUGUUUCAAGGGGGAGGGAGUGAUUCCCUGGGUCAAAUGCUGCCAAUGAGGAAUACAAAGACUGAGAAUUUACCUUUGGAUCAUUCCUAUGGUUGUGGGAGAGUUAAGUGAGAUGAUGUAUGGAACAGCUAACAGUGUGCCCAAGAAGUAGAAAGCAUUAUAAAGUUCCUGAGUGUCCCUCUUCCCUGCUUUUGCCCAUUUCGUUUCUUCACCUGGUAUUCUGUCCUCUGCUUAUCCAUAUUGUGAACCAACUUGGAUCCCACCUGUUCUCUGAAAUCUUUUCUGGGUACUCUAAAUCUUAGGGACCUUCCUCACCUCUGGGGUCUCCUUACUACGUGGUCCGUGCUGCCAAGCUACAGAAAGCAACGUGGUAUGCAGAAGCUUGCUUGGACUCCAGUGUGAGACUGCCUGUCCUUGAAUUUCAACUCUACCACUUACUAGCUGAGUGAACUUAGGGAAACUAUGUAACCUCUCUGAGCCUCUAUUUCCUCAUCUUAAAAAUCAGGACAAACACAAUGAUCUCAUCUGCAUUAUUGUUAGGAGUAAAUGAGAUAAUAUUUAUAAAACCUUUGGGUUCAGCAGAUCCUUUCUCUUUCCUGCUGCACACCUUAGCAUUGUUUCAUGUGUGCCGGUUUGCUCUUACCAAUAAGCAUCUUGAGGGUCGGAGUCAUGCCUUAGUGUUCCUUUCUGUCCCCUGUUGCAUCGAGCAUGUUGAUGGGUUCCACAAGUGCUUUACUGACAUCAGAAGUAUUUUCUAAUCCAGAGUACAAAUUACAGCCUGUCAAAAAGAAACACACAGCUGUGGUGUCUGGUUUACAGGUAGCAAGUCAUCAGGAAUGCUUAGCACGUAUGGACCAUUUCACAGAGAGUGUCUGAAACAAGAUAUUUCUUUCUAGGUAUGUAUCUUUUAU
Molecule: long non-coding RNA, 1507 nt
Filed under: Homo sapiens (human)
Lineage: Eukaryota; Metazoa; Chordata; Mammalia; Primates; Hominidae
Description: HSALNT0282019
Source: RNAcentral